UCCCCACCGCCCGGCAUCUUGCCGGUGGCCACACGGGCGGUCGCGUCUGGGAGCCGGUGGUGUUAGCCAGCCGGUGACCCCGGGGGUCGGCCGCCCCUUUUGCUCCUGUGCGCACGGAGUCGGGGGACGGAAGACUGAAACCAGGACUCAAAGCAAAGCCAGGUCAGAGCCGGAGAGGGCCAGGGAGAUGGCGUGGCCACCAGACGAGGUGGGGCCGGCGGGCGGAGGGGGGCAGGGGCCAUCUGCAGCCCUGCACAGGGCAGCUUUCUCCCCGGCCGUCCUGUGGGGGCAGAACGUGCACCAGGAACCCCCUCGGGUCUUCUCACCAAGUGAGAACUGGUCCCGAGCAGGCCCCUCCUGUCCACGCCGCCCUCCCCACGCCCGCCCCGCUGCGGGCCCCGAUUCACAGCGAGGAGCCCUGCGUCUCUCAACCACACUGUGCGAGGCCACCUCGGGUCGCUUCACCCCGUCCCCCUCCGAACAUGGGCUCUCUCGGGGAGCGCCCCCACCCUCCCUCUGAGGACGGGGAGGCUUUCCAAGGACCUUGGGGUGUCGGCUCCCUCAGCUCGCGGAUUCGUGUUCCCUUUCGUCCUCGGAGAAAUGGAAUGCAAAGGGAGAAGCAAAAGCAGAGAGACGCAGGAAGGUGAGGGGUCUCGUCCCUCGGGCCAGCCGCGUCCCUGAGGCCCAGGAAAGGCCCCGGGCGUCUGAGGCCUCGCCCCGCCAGGGCGGCUGCUCCAAACCUCCUCCCUCAGCGUCCUGCCAGGCACUGCUUUCGUUCCUUGCCCAACGCCAAGCUGAGCCCCCACAUCCUGCAGGCUCGCGGCAGAAGGGCAGAGAAAUGCCUCUGGAUCCGCACCAGGCAAGAGCCGCCUGGCCCCCCCCCCCCCGUCCAAGACGGGCAUUUGGAAGGGCCUGACUUCCUGCCGUGACGCCCCCCUGCAUUUCCAGUGUGGCGAGCAGCCGGCCGGCCCAAGAAAACAGCGCCACGGGGUUUUGGAUCACCGCAGGGGAGAGUUUGCGCAGGCCCCGGUAGCUUCCUGGGGAAGGUGGCAGGGCUCCCGAAACGAUGAGGGCUUUGGGGUUAUUUUGCUGCGAACUGGCCAGAGGUGGGAAAACCGACCCGCACCCCAGAGCUGAAAGCCACACGGUUCCAAAACGCAGGGGCUUUAAAGAGCAGCCUUCUGGCCGCCCCACAGACCGGCCCACAUGCCCGCGGGGGAGCCCUGCCCCAGCCUGAGACCCAGGGCUCACCCGCUGCUCGUAGGCGGGACCCUGAGGUUACGGAUGCGCAGGACGAUGGCUUUCAAAUCGCUCUGCGGACCGACGGUUUGUGGCAAACGUCGAAAAAGUUAUUUCAAGUCGACGGACUCAAAGCGGGAUGUCCUGUGGCAAGAGGAGGAGGGGAGAGGAGGCCCAUUUUCUCCAGGUAAACGCGGGCCCCUGUCCAGAGGGCCCAGGGCCUCUAAGCCAGGCCUGGGUGAGAGCCAGGAGGCGGGAGGGCCCGCGGGUGCCCCGGCGAGCCCCCGUGCGGCCCUCCAUCCACCACGGGACCCCACGCUCUGCGCGCCUGCUUCAUUCCCUCCUUCCGCGACCCUCUGGUGUCUCCUGUAACCUUUGGCCUGUUACCCUGUGAGAGAGAGGUCUUCCAUCGUCCUGGGCAGGCGCCCGACAGGUAACCCGCAUUGUAACCUUGUAUGAUACUAGCACCCGGUUAUUUUUGACCGUGUUGGCCCGUGCCCGGCCCUGCCUGGCUGUGGGACCCCGCUCCAGCUGGUGCCAGGGGCCCAGGGCCGCUCCUCUACAGGCUGCCGUGACCGCGUGGGGCCGGGGGAACCUGGGGAUAUGCGGCGACCACCGCCGGCAAAGGAGCCGCACGGAUGUGCCCGUGAUGCGGGUAAGCACGGUCCUUCCGGUGGCAUGAUGCGAACAGCGAGACCUCAGGGCCUGUCCCUGUCUGCGGCCUCAAGAUGGGGCGCCCCGGGGGCCCCCCCCCCCCCCCGCUCCCUUCGCCAGCAGGCACGCAGGGCUCCUGACGGAGGUGAACAUCACGCUUCGGCCCCCGUAAAGGCUGUCGUGUUCACACAGCGCAGCCCCCCCCCCCCAUGAAGUCCUCGGCUGGACCCGGCCCCGCCCUCCUCCCUCUUUGAUGGGCACAAAACCCCAGAAAGAGGUGGAAACAGCAAACAGCCCACCUCGAUGAUUUGUUCUAAGACAGAGUGCAGUGCACUGGCCAAGCGGCGAGAAGCCCCAAAGCGGCCUCCCCUCAGCUCUGAGCGACUUAGGCCACGUCAGGGAACAGCUUCACUUGUGUCUCGCUUAGGAUGACAUCACUGUCGGCUGGCGUGCUGGGAACGUUAGGACCUCGGUGCCGGGCGGGGGAGGAGACAGGAGCCCGGCUCCCGGCAGCCCCACCCAUCCAUCACACCCGCGGGUUCGGGGCCGGCCUCUCUCUAGAGGGUCUCUGUGGGGGAACAGCAUCCUGUCCCCUCACACAAGAGCCCCCGUCUGUCCUGGAGACGGGUCUCGCAUUCCCCCCCCUGGUAGAAACCUGUAGGUCUCGGGGUGGGGGGGGGGUGGAGUCUGGGGGAGGGUGCUCCCGUUAGGGGGGCUCGAGGCAGCCCCCCACCCCCAGCCGCUCUGGGCCCCCUGCUGGCCUCGCCCAAGAACCAUGGAAACGCUAUUUUUAUCCUGAUGAACAAUAGUGCCGAAAUGUCUUCCGACUUGGCAAGACACAAAAUUUAGGUGCUGGGAGAGAGACUUCAAUUUCAAGCUUAAAGAUUACUUUGGAUCCCCCAGGACUCAGAAGCAAUUUAGAGCUGAUACCCUGAACAAGAGGAAGGUUACAAGAUUAAGACCAACUGCUGUUUGGAUAAAUGGAUUUAUUCGGAAGGAGCCCACCUUGGUCGUCUUCUGCCGAGCCUUGGUGACGUCAUACUCCACCUCGUCCAUCAGGGCCCUGCAUGCUAGACAAGACACGAAGCGUCUGUUAUCUCCGGAAGGCGCAGACUAAGGCCGCCCGGAGCCGGUCGCUAGCUCGACCCUCAGCCAGGGCGUCCCUGUCAACAGGGAAGGUACUCUCGUCCCCCGACUUUCCAUCCACAAGCACAGGCACUGCCUCAGCCGCUGAGAAUUCUCACCAGUAACAAGUAAAUGAAGCGACGCCUCCAACACCAGCCUCAUUUGCUCAGCAGAAAGCAAUUUUGGACGUGCCGUCUCCGCCCAGCCGUGGCCGAGGGAUGUGGAGGCGUGAUGGAGACAAAGCUCCCCCAUUCGGACGAGGCAUAAGCAGCUUCUGUCUGACUCAAGUAUUUCCGAGUCUCCCCGUGGGAACAGCACUGCCUUUACCUGCCCACGAGGUAAAUUCUGGCACUGUAGACCCGACCCGGUUCUAGCGCCGUGUCCUGAUUGCACACGGGACCGGGAUGGCCCAGGGCCCAGGCGGCCCGAUGACGACGACAAAGGCCAAACCGUCCCGAUGGUGACCCACACCAAUGCUGCGGGGGCUCGCUGCCCUCCUGAUGCGGACCGAGCUGUGUUCCCACGCGCACAGCCCGAGACCGCAACAGUCCUCCUGGGUCCCUGGGACCACACGCGUCUCAUGGCAGGGAUUUCAAAGUGUUUUGCCAGCUCGUUUGAGGGGGCAAACUGUUGGUGGCUUGAACCCGUUUUGCAUAACUUGUUUUGAUGGCUGUUUUGAUCUAAGAAAGGAGUUGCGGACACUGGGGAGGCUGUCAGGGGGACGUCCUCAAAACCGAGGGGCUGAGGAGGACUUGUCAACAUGAGCACAGGGAGGGGCCGUCAUCACGCGGUCUCUGGAAACUUCAAAGAAUCUGAGAGGACUCGGGAAGCGUGUCCGGCCUGGCGAGUCUGCUGCUGGCCGAUCUGAACAGCUCUCCGGAGGUCCUGGACACCUGUGCCCACGUGGCCAGGCCGCUCUUGGUCGGUGGUGGGGUCAAACCGUGCAGCGGGCUCGGGGGGGAGGGAGGCCCGGCCCGGCCGUGGAGGGGCUCCUGCUCGUGGGUACUGGUGCACGGUGUGCCGUGGCCCCUGGAGAAACGCCCUCCGGAACAGCCCGGCCUGCCCCCCCUCCCCCAGCUACCCGCCCCGGCAGCGAGGGACCUACGCGGGCGGCUGGCACCCCGCUUUGGCCGCAAGGACUCACACUCCCCAGAAACAACCGGUAGCAAAGUGCACCUCGGCUGAACCUGGACUUGACGGCCUUCCUCCCGCUUUCCCCGGAACGAUCGUGGAAUUCAUCUAUCGUUGGUUCGGAGUCCGUUAUUUCGUCAUUGGCUUAUUAGGAGACAUUAUCUGCUUUGCUACUGGCUUGUGAAAGAGUAUUAUUAUAAAUUACAAUGCCCGCCAUGAACCUGUGUUAAAUAGAUGACCAGCAAAGAGCAUCUCAGUCUCCGGGCAUAAUUUUCCCCCAACAAAACAGCCCCAAGGCCGUCACCAGCGGGGCAUGGAAGGUGUGUGGGUCCCUGCCUAGGCCGUCCGCUCAGCGCUUUCUGCGUCCCCCGGCGGGUCUCCCCCCACCCGGGGAAAGAACGCGGAGCCUCAGACAACACGCGCGUCCUUUCCGGCACCUGUACGGCCCCGGAUGGCUCUAGAAGUUGUGUUCCAUGACCUUCCUUCCUGGAGAGAGAGCUGGCGCUUGCCCUUGGCCCUGGGGUCGUCCCCUCCCUUUCCCACCACGGGGGCCCCCGAUGAGCUGGGCCAGGCAGCCCACAGAUACUGCAGGUGAGCGGCCACAGGGGCUGGUCCCCCGCCAACCCGGACAGCGAUUCCCCAUCCCCUGGGAGAGUGCUCAGUCACUAGUUUGAGUUUGUCAAAUCCCAGGCGAACGUAAGCCUGUGCCUCCUGGGCAGGAAUCGGGGAAGAUGGUCACACGCCAGCCCGAUGUAUGCUUAUUCCCUCAACCUGGGAUAAGGCGUCAGGCACCUGCAAGACCCCUUCGCCCACCCUCUGGAAGAGUCCCGAUUCCCAGAAUCCCACCCUGACCUGGUGACCCACCUGGGAUCCUUGAGGUCUCUCUGCUCUGUGUCACAGGCCCAGGUUUCAGAGUCCAGCCUGAUCAAAGGUGGCCUUGGCUCUCGAGAGCCCACAAGGCUGGACGUGGCAGGUACGGAGUGUGCCUGCCCCCCCCCCCCCGGGGCCAUCGGUCAUAUGUUAACACCUGUUCCCUUCCACUCAGUCCCCAAGAUUCGGGGCCACCGAGACAGCCAUGUAAAGGAUGUCUCCUGAGGACGGGCCCCUGGAGGGGCUGAGCUGAUGGCCGGGCCCCUGGUGUCAGGGAGGCCCGUGUCUCCUGCAUCUCUGCCCCCUUGACCCCGGGGUGGGGGGUGCGGUGGGAGGGGCCACACCCACUGGUCGAGCAGAGCAUCUCAGGGUCAGAGGUGACCCCCCCCCCCCCGACACGGAAGGUUCUAGCUUCUAGGACAGGCUGGGAGGGAGGAGGGGCCUCCCCAUGGAGGGGCGGCUCAAUGAGAAAAGAUCAUUUUAGAUUUCUGCCCCAGGUCACAGAACAAGUUAACAGAGUCACAUCAGCGACCUGGGCCUCCAGAUUUCCAGUCCGGUGUUAAUUUAAAUGUUAAUCUGAAAUCUUCACUUAAGUCACUGGAGUUUUGGGUUUAUUAGAGCAGGCGGCAGGAGUGAGCCUCAUGGGGGGGUUGGCGGGUCACGUUGCCUGCCAGAGGGCGAGCCCUCCUCCCCGCUGGGCCCGCCAGCCUCUUCCGUCUGUCUGCCUCCUCCCUUCUCCUGUCCUUCCUCUCUCUCUCUCUCUCUGUCUCUCUCUCUCUCUCUCUGUCGGAGUGAGAUUUGGCAAUGGCAAGGAGGUGGCGGUGGAUGUCACGGCAGAUUCAGCCUAUCCCGGAGGAGCUCAGGUGCCGGAGCCUUCUGGAAUCGCCUGGAAUCCCAGCCCUGCAGUUAGUGAGCCACGUGGCACCGGUAGCCAGAGAGCCGCCUGGAUGCGGGCGUUUACGCAGGGGACCAGGCAAGGGCCGCGAAUCAGGAAUCGCGGCCGCUCUCCGCCCGGCCCUGCUCUGCACGUGCCCUGGAGACUCGUGGAUCAACCGGUGUUCGGGCACCUGCUGUCUUCAAGGACAAGCGCAAGGUACCAGGAAGGAGCAGGGAGGGAGAGGUCACAGACCAGGCCCUGGAAGGAACCCGCACUUGACUGGGGGUCCGUGAGCAGCACUGAUGUGAGAAGGAGCCGGGGACGUGUGGACACGCGUGCAGACGCCUCGAGCAGGCAGGGCGGGUGAGGGAGGCCGGGCCAGGCAGCCCGUCCCUCAGCCGCACGUGCCGGGGAGCCCCAGACCCACCUUGGAAGGGGCCGAGCCUCAGGCCCCGGUCACAGGCUCUUGGUCACUGCUGGGGGUGUGGCCUGCCUCUUUGACAAGCACCUGUGACCACACGACGGCCACUCAAAGACCGCCCGGGGCGCCCGGGUCCGCUUAGUGGAGCCCGACACCUUUAGGGGGAGACGAAGCCCUGCCCGCUGCUCCCCACGGCGGGGAGGACACGUCGGGGAGAAGGGAGCACCACCCCCCACCCCGCCGACGAAGCAACACGCGUUCUCCUACGAGCAGAGUGGCUGAUACCUGAGU
This is a long non-coding RNA of Herpailurus yagouaroundi (jaguarundi), 6608 nucleotides long. RefSeq lists it as uncharacterized. The record is from RefSeq and is a predicted model, not a curated record. The transcript is spliced from 3 exons. Lineage: Eukaryota; Metazoa; Chordata; Mammalia; Carnivora; Felidae.